This 69-nucleotide transfer RNA is filed under the name Ictidomys tridecemlineatus (thirteen-lined ground squirrel). RNAcentral describes it as "Spermophilus tridecemlineatus (thirteen-lined ground squirrel) tRNA". It matches the Rfam family "tRNA". From Rfam's summary of the family: Transfer RNA (tRNA) molecules are approximately 80 nucleotides in length. Their secondary structure includes four short double-helical elements and three loops (D, anti-codon, and T loops). Further hydrogen bonds mediate the characteristic L-shaped molecular structure. tRNAs have two regions of fundamental functional importance: the anti-codon, which is responsible for specific mRNA codon recognition, and the 3' end, to which the tRNAs corresponding amino acid is attached (by aminoacyl-tRNA synthetases). tRNAs cope with the degeneracy of the genetic code in two manners: having more than one tRNA (with a specific anti-codon) for a particular amino acid; and 'wobble' base-pairing, i.e. permitting non-standard base-pairing at the 3rd anti-codon position. The record is from Rfam by way of RNAcentral. Lineage: Eukaryota; Metazoa; Chordata; Mammalia; Rodentia; Sciuridae.
GGGAUUGUGGCUCAGCGGUACAGCACUCGCCUAGCAUGUGUAAGGCCCUGGGUUCGAUCCCCAGCACCA